This 680-nucleotide ribosomal RNA is filed under the name uncultured bacterium. Its description in RNAcentral is "bacterial SSU rRNA". It matches the Rfam family "Bacterial small subunit ribosomal RNA", at positions 18 to 702 of the family's 1533-position model. The record is from RNAcentral.
CCACGUCCCCAUAGCGCUGGCGGCUGCUUACCAUGCAUGUGAACGGUACAGGUCUUCGGAUGCUGACGAGUGGCGAACGGGUGAGUAAUACAUCGGAACGUGCCCGAGAGUGGGGGAUAACGAAGCGAAAGCUUUGCUAAUACCGCAUACGAUCUCAGGAUGAAAGCAGGGGACCGCAAGGCCUUGCGCUCACGGAGCGGCCGAUGGCAGAUUAGGUAGUUGGUGGGAUAAAAGCUUACCAAGCCGACGAUCUGUAGCUGGUCUGAGAGGACGACCAGCCACACUGGGACUGAGACACGGCCCAGACUCCUACGGGAGGCAGCAGUGGGGAAUUUUGGACAAUGGGCGCAAGCCUGAUCCAGCCAUGCCGCGUGCAGGAUGAAGGCCUUCGGGUUGUAAACUGCUUUUGUACGGAACGAAAAGACUCUGGUUAAUACCUGGGGUCCAUGACAGUACCGUAAGAAUAAGCACCGGCUAACUACGUGUCAGCAGCCGCGGUAAUACGUAGGGUGCGAGCGUUAAUCGGAAUUACUGGGCGUAAAGCGUGCGCAGGCGGUUAUGUAAGACAGAUGUGAAAUCCCCGGGCUCAAGCUGGGAACUGCAUAUGUGACUGCAUAGCUAGAGUAAGGCAGAGGGGGAUGGAAUUCAGCGUGUAACAGUGAAAUGCGUAGAUAUGCACA